RNAcentral lists this ribosomal RNA (392 nucleotides) under uncultured bacterium. RNAcentral's name for it is "partial 16S ribosomal RNA". It matches the Rfam family "Bacterial small subunit ribosomal RNA", at positions 523 to 918 of the family's 1533-position model. The record is from RNAcentral.
AUACGGAAGGUCCGGGCGUUAUCCGGAUUUAUUGGGUUUAAAGGGAGCGCAGGCGGCCUUUUAAGCGUGACGUGAAAUGUAGGCGCUCAACGUCUGAAUUGCGUCGCGAACUGUUAGGCUUGAGUAGACGGAAUGUCGGCGGAAUUCGUGGUGUAGCGGUGAAAUGCUUAGAUAUCACGAAGAACUCCGAUUGCGAAGGCAGCUGACAGCAGUUUUACUGACGCUCAUGCUCGAAAGUGCGGAUAUCGAACAGGAUUAGAUACCCUGGUAGUCCGCACGGUAAACGAUGGAUGCCCGCUGUUUGCCUUUUUGGUAAGCGGCCAAGCGAAAGCAUUAAGCAUCCCACCUGGGGAGUACGCCGGCAACGGUGAAACUCAAAUGAAUUGACGGGG